This 325-nucleotide ribosomal RNA is filed under the name uncultured bacterium. RNAcentral's name for it is "bacterial SSU rRNA". It matches the Rfam family "Bacterial small subunit ribosomal RNA", at positions 29 to 376 of the family's 1533-position model. The record is from RNAcentral.
AGUGAACGUUGGCGGCGUGGAUUAGGCAUGCAAGUCGAGCGAUCGUAGCAAUACGGGAGCGGCAAACGGGGGUAGGAAUACAUCGGAACGUACCUUUUGGUUGAGAAUAGCGUUGGGAAACUGACGGUAAUACGUCAAUAAAAGUCGAGAGACCAAAGGUUUACUGCCGGAAGAGCGGCCGAUGCGAUAUUAGGUAGUUGGUGGGGUAAUGGGCCUACCAAGCCUGAGAUGUCUAGGGGGUGUGAGAGCAUGGCCCCACCACUGGGACUGAGAUACUGCCCAGACACCUACGGGUGGCUGCAGUCGAGGAUCUUCGUCAAUGGGC